This 492-nucleotide ribosomal RNA is filed under the name uncultured bacterium. Its description in RNAcentral is "partial 16S ribosomal RNA". It matches the Rfam family "Bacterial small subunit ribosomal RNA", at positions 29 to 507 of the family's 1533-position model. The record is from RNAcentral.
AGUGAACGCUGGCGGUAGGCCUAACACAUGCAAGUCGAACGGCAGCACAGUAAGAGCUUGCUCUUACGGGUGGCGAGUGGCGGACGGGUGAGGAAUACAUCGGAAUCUACUUUUUCGUGGGGGAUAACGUAGGGAAACUUACGCUAAUACCGCAUACGACCUACGGGUGAAAGCAGGGGAUCUUCGGACCUUGUGCGAUUGAAUGAGCCGAUGUCGGAUUAGCUAGUUGGCGGGGUAAAGGCCCACCAAGGCGACGAUCCGUAGCUGGUCUGAGAGGAUGAUCAGCCACACUGGAACUGAGCCACGGUCCAGACUCCUACGGGAGGCCGCAGUGGGGAAUAUUGGACGAUGGGCGCAAGCCUGAUCCAGCCAUACCGCGUGGGUGAAGAAGGCCUUCGGGUUGUAAAGCCCUUUUGUUGGGAAAGAAAAGCAGCAGGUUAAUACCCCGCUGUUCUGACGGUACCCAAAGAAUAAGCACCGGCUAACUUCGUG